UCCCUGGUGGCUUAGACGGUAAAGAAUCCGCCUGCAAAGCUAGAGACCCAGGUUCAAUCCCUGGGCUGGGAA
This 72-nucleotide transfer RNA is filed under the name Capra hircus (goat). It matches the Rfam family "tRNA". Rfam says of the family: Transfer RNA (tRNA) molecules are approximately 80 nucleotides in length. Their secondary structure includes four short double-helical elements and three loops (D, anti-codon, and T loops). Lineage: Eukaryota; Metazoa; Chordata; Mammalia; Artiodactyla; Bovidae. The record is from Rfam by way of RNAcentral. RNAcentral also lists the same sequence under 1 other name.